Molecule: ribosomal RNA, 253 nt
Filed under: uncultured bacterium
Lineage: Bacteria
Description: partial 16S ribosomal RNA
Rfam family: Bacterial small subunit ribosomal RNA
Source: RNAcentral
UACGGAGGGUGCAAGCGUUAUUCGGAAUUACUGGGCGUAAAGCGCACGCAGGUGGCUGAGUCAGUCGAUUGUGAAAGCCCUGGGCUUAACCUGGGAAUUGCAGUCGAUACUACUCAGCUAGAGUAUGGGAGAGGGUAGUGGAAUUCCCGGUGUAGCGGUGAAAUGCGCAGAUAUCAGGAGGAACACCGGUGGCGAAGGCGGCUCUCUGGGCCUGUCCUGACGCUGAGGCGCGAAAGCUGGGGGAGCGAACAGG